RNAcentral lists this ribosomal RNA (464 nucleotides) under Streptococcus infantis. Its description in RNAcentral is "bacterial SSU rRNA". It matches the Rfam family "Bacterial small subunit ribosomal RNA", at positions 28 to 474 of the family's 1533-position model. Lineage: Bacteria; Bacillati; Bacillota; Bacilli; Lactobacillales; Streptococcaceae. The record is from RNAcentral.
GACGAACGCUGGCGGCGUGCCUAAUACAUGCAAGUAGAACGCUGAAGGAAGGAGCUUGCUCUUUCCGGAUGAGUUGCGAACGGGUGAGUAACGCGUAGGUAACCUGCCUGGUAGCGGGGGAUAACUAUUGGAAACGAUAGCUAAUACCGCAUAACAGUAGAUAUCGCAUGAUAGCUGCUUGAAAGGUGCAAUUGCACCACUACCAGAUGGACCUGCGUUGUAUUAGCUAGUUGGUGAGGUAACGGCUCACCAAGGCAACGAUACAUAGCCGACCUGAGAGGGUGAUCGGCCACACUGGGACUGAGACACGGCCCAGACUCCUACGGGAGGCAGCAGUAGGGAAUCUUCGGCAAUGGACGGAAGUCUGACCGAGCAACGCCGCGUGAGUGAAGAAGGUUUUCGGAUCGUAAAGCUCUGUUGUAAGAGAAGAACGAGUGUGAGAGUGGAAAGUUCACACUGUGACG